This 54-nucleotide small nucleolar RNA is filed under the name Leishmania donovani. RNAcentral describes it as "H/ACA box snoRNA LD35Cs21H1". The record is from RNAcentral. Lineage: Eukaryota; Euglenozoa; Kinetoplastea; Trypanosomatida; Trypanosomatidae.
UCAGAGCACUUUGACUUUCGGCAUGAAUGAAAGAUGGAGGAGAUGCCAAGGUGG